This 192-nucleotide small nuclear RNA is filed under the name Salmo salar (Atlantic salmon). Its description in RNAcentral is "U2 spliceosomal RNA (ENSSSAG00000047002.2)". It matches the Rfam family "U2 spliceosomal RNA". Rfam says of the family: U2 is a small nuclear RNA (snRNA) component of the spliceosome (involved in pre-mRNA splicing). Complementary binding between U2 snRNA (in an area lying towards the 5' end but 3' to hairpin I) and the branchpoint sequence (BPS) of the intron results the bulging out of an unpaired adenosine, on the BPS, which initiates a nucleophilic attack at the intronic 5' splice site, thus starting the first of two transesterification reactions that mediate splicing. The record is from RNAcentral. Lineage: Eukaryota; Metazoa; Chordata; Actinopteri; Salmoniformes; Salmonidae.
AUCGCUUCUCGGCCUUUUGGCUCAGAUCAAGUGUAGUAUCUGUUCUUAUCAGUUUAAUAUCUCGAUACGUCCCCCAUCGGGGGACUACAUAUUAAAUGGAUUUUUCGAACAGGGAGUCGGAAAUGGGGCUUGCUCCGUCCGCUCCACGCAUCGACCCGGUAUUGCAGUACCUCCGGGAAUGGUGCAACACUU